GAUGAAGAACGCAGCAAAAUGCGAUAAGUAAUGUGAAUUGCAGAAUUCAGUGAAUCAUCGAAUCUUUGAACGCACAUUGCGCCCGCCAGUAUUCUGGCGGGCAUGCCUGUUCGAGCGUCAUUUCAACCCUCAAGCACAGCUUGGUGUUGGGACUCGCGUUAAUUCGCGUUCCCCAAAUUGAUUGGCGGUCACGUCGAGCUUCCAUAGCGUAGUAGUAAAACCCUCGUUACUGGUAAUCGUCGCGGCCACGCCGUUAAACCCCCACUUCUGAAUGUUGACCUCGGAUCAGGUAGGAAUACCCGCUGAACUUAAGCAUAUCAAUAAGCGGAGGA
Molecule: unclassified non-coding RNA, 332 nt
Filed under: soil metagenome
Description: partial contains 5.8S ribosomal RNA, internal transcribed spacer 2, and large subunit ribosomal RNA
Rfam family: 5.8S ribosomal RNA (bases 1-120)
Source: RNAcentral